RNAcentral lists this ribosomal RNA (499 nucleotides) under uncultured Glomeromycotina. RNAcentral's name for it is "partial small subunit ribosomal RNA". It matches the Rfam family "Eukaryotic small subunit ribosomal RNA", at positions 591 to 1092 of the family's 1831-position model. The record is from RNAcentral. Lineage: Eukaryota; Fungi; Glomeromycota.
CCAAUAGCGUAUAUUAAAGUUGCUGCAGUUAAAAAGCUCGUAGUUGAAUUUCGGAACCAAUAUGUUGGUUGUGCCUCGGUACGUACUGGCAUUGUUGGUUUCUCCCUUCUGACGAACUAUGAUGUCAUUAAUUUGGUGUCAUGGGGAAUCAGGACUGUUACUUUGAAAAAAUUAGAGUGUUUAAAGCAGGCUCACGCUUGAAUACAUUAGCAUAGAAUAAUGAAAUAGGACGUUUGAUUCUAUUUUGUUGGUUUCUAGGAUUGACGUAAUGAUUAAUAGGGAUAGUUGGGGGCAUUAGUAUUCAAUUGUCAGAGGUGAAAUUCUUGGAUUUAUUGAAGACUAACUACUGCGAAAGCAUUUGCCAAGGAUGUUUUCAUUAAUCAAGAAUGAAAGUUAGGGGAUCGAAGACGAUCAGAUACCGUCGUAGUCUUAACCAUAAACUAUGCCGACUAGGGAUUGGAUGAUGUUAAUUUUUUAAUGACUCAUUCGGCGCCUUACG